Molecule: ribosomal RNA, 1391 nt
Filed under: uncultured bacterium
Lineage: Bacteria
Description: bacterial SSU rRNA
Rfam family: Bacterial small subunit ribosomal RNA
Source: RNAcentral
GAACGAACGCUGGCGGCGUGGAUUAGGCAUGCAAGUCGAACGAGAAUCUGGAGGUUCAAGUUUUCGGACAAGAACUUUCGGAGGAAAGUGGCGGAAGGGUGAGUACAAUAUGGAUAAUCUACCUUCAAGUUGGGUAUAGCUUCCCGAAAGGGGAGAUAAUCCCGAAUGUGGUGAUCCGGCGCCUGUCGGAGAAUCCAAAGGUGGGGACCGCAAGGCCUGCCGCUUGAAGAUGAGUCCGUGCACUAUCAGCUAGUUGGUGAGGUAAUGGCUCACCAAGGCGAUGACGGUUAGCUGGUCUGAGAGGAUGGUCAGCCACACUGGGACUGAGAUACUGCCCAGACUCCUACGGGAGGCUGCAGUCGAGAAUCAUUCGCAAUGGGCGCAAGCCUGACGGUGCGACGUCGCGUGGAGGAUGAAGGUCUUCGGAUUGUAAACUCCUGUCAUGUGGGAUAAAUGGCCAGGGCAUGAAUAGUGCCUUGGAAUGAUAGUACCACAGGAGGAAGGGACGGCUAACUCUGUGCCAGCAGCCGCGGUAAUUCAGAGGUCCCGAGCGUUGUUCGGAUUUACUGGGCGUAAAGGGAGCGUAGGCGGUUUGGUGUGUCGAAUGUGAAAGCCCACAACUCAACUGUGGAAUGGCAUUCGAAACUACUGAGCUAGAGUACUGGAGAGGAGAGCGGAAUUCUUGGUGUAGCGGUGAAAUGCGUAGAUAUCAAGAGGAACACCGGUGGCGAAGGCGGCUCUCUGGACAGAUACUGACGCUGAGGCUCUAAAGUUAGGGGAGCAAACAGGAUUAGAUACCCUGGUAGUCCUAACCAUAAACGGUGUACACUUGGUGUGCGAGGAAUUGUCCCUUUGCGCGCCGCAGCUAACGCGAUAAGUGUACCGCCUGGGGAGUACGGUCGCAAGAUUAAAACUCAAAGGAAUUGACGGGGACCCGCACAAGCGGUGGAGCAUGUGGCUUAAUUCGAUGCAACGCGAAGAACCUUCCCAGGGCUUGACAUCCUACUAACGAGAUAGAGAUAUGUUAGGUGCCCUUCGGGGAAAGUAGAGACAGGUGGUGCAUGGUUGUCGUCAGCUCGUGUCGUGAGAUGUUGGGUUAAGUCCCGCAACGAGCGCAACCCCUAUUGUUAGUUGCUACGCAAGAGCACUCUAGCGAGACUGCCGUUGACAAAACGGAGGAAGGUAGGGACGACGUCAAAUCAUCAUGCCCCUUAUGUCCUGGGCUACACACGUAAUACAAUGGCGGUCAACAGAGGGAUGCAAAACCGUGAGGUGGAGCGAACCCCUAAAAGCCGUCCCAGUUCAGAUCGUGGGCUGCAACCCGCCCACGUGAAGUCGGAAUCGCUAGUAAUCGCGGAUCAGCAUGCCGCGGUGAAUACGUUCCCGGGCCU